This 511-nucleotide long non-coding RNA is filed under the name Cyanistes caeruleus (blue tit). RNAcentral describes it as "lncRNA (ENSCCEG00000018346.1)". Lineage: Eukaryota; Metazoa; Chordata; Aves; Passeriformes; Paridae. The record is from RNAcentral.
AAAAUUCUGAAGCUGCAAAGUUUUCUUGAGUGUCUGGAACGCCUGAAGCUGAAAGAUGGUCUUGAUUGUCUGAAAAAUAUACCCUCAGCUUUCCACAUCAUCUACCACUGUCUGCAUUGAAUAACACUAGACCUAGGCCUGACCUGAUACUACUUUCCUUUUUUAGGGCAAAGAGCCUGAAAGAAUUGAUUCUGUGUUGUGAAUGACUAACAAUACGAUACUGACAGUAUUUUCUGAGUGUCUUGAGAGCAUCAUCACCAGGACUGUGGCUCUGCCUGCCUUUCACAUCUGUUACCUCCUGAAGCUAUGGAACAGAGCAUAUGCAGUUUAAUUGAGAAUUCAUGAGCAUCAGUGGAGAGCACCUGAGAAGAGCACAACCAGCUACAGGCAAGUCUGCACCUUUAUUUUCCUCCCUCUUAUGUAAAAACAAUCAGGCAUAAGUGCAGCAAGGACAGCCAGAAGUUUAAAUGUGGUUAAUAAACAUUCCAUCAUAAAAGAGGGAGAAAGAAAG